UGGGGAAUAUUGCACAAUGGGCGAAAGCCUGAUGCAGCAACGCCGCGUGAGUGAUGAAGGCCUUCGGGUUGUAAAGCUCUGUCUUUUGGGACGAUAAUGACGGUACCAAAGGAGGAAGCCACGGCUAACUACGUGCCAGCAGCCGCGGUAAUACGUAGGUGGCAAGCGUUGUCCGGAUUUACUGGGCGUAAAGGAUGCGUAGGCGGAUUUUUAAGUGAGAUGUGAAAACCCUAAAGCUUAACUUGGGGACUGCAUUUCAUACUGGAAAAUCUAGAGUGCGGGAGAGGANAAUGGAAUUCCUAGUGUAGCGGUGAAAUGCGUAGAGAUUAGGAAGAACAACCAGUGGCGAAGGCGAUUCUCUGGACCGUAACUGACGCUGAGGCAU
This 385-nucleotide ribosomal RNA is filed under the name uncultured bacterium. RNAcentral describes it as "partial 16S ribosomal RNA". It matches the Rfam family "Bacterial small subunit ribosomal RNA", at positions 355 to 754 of the family's 1533-position model. The record is from RNAcentral.